RNAcentral lists this ribosomal RNA (425 nucleotides) under uncultured bacterium. RNAcentral describes it as "partial 16S ribosomal RNA". It matches the Rfam family "Bacterial small subunit ribosomal RNA", at positions 354 to 796 of the family's 1533-position model. The record is from RNAcentral.
GUAGGGAAUCUUGCGCAAUGGGCGAAAGCCUGACGCAGCCAUGCCGCGUGAAUGAUGAAGGUCUUAGGAUUGUAAAAUUCUUUCACCGGGGACGAUAAUGACGGUACCCGGAGAAGAAGCCCCGGCUAACUUCGUGCCAGCAGCCGCGGUAAUACGAAGGGGGCUAGCGUUGCUCGGAAUUACUGGGCGUAAAGGGAGCGUAGGCGGAUAGUUUAGUCAGAGGUGAAAGCCCAGGGCGCAAACUUGGAAUUGCCUUUGAUACUGGCUAUCUUGAGUAUGGAAGAGGUAUGUGGAACUCCGAGUGUAGAGGUGAAAUUCGUAGAUAUUCGGAAGAACACCAGUGGCGAAGGCGACAUACUGGUCCAUUACUGACGCUGAGGCUCGAAAGCGUGGGGAGCAAACAGGAUUAGAUACCCUAGUAGUCC